GACGAACGCUGGCGGCGUGCUUAACACAUGCAAGUCGAGCGGUAAGGCCCUUCGGGGUACACGAGCGGCGAACGGGUGAGUAACACGUGGGUGAUCUGCCUCGCACUCUGGGAUAAGCCUGGGAAACUGGGUCUAAUACCGGAUAUGACCACGGAUCGCAUGGUUUGUGGUGGAAAGAUUUAUCGGUGCGAGAUGGGCCCGCGGCCUAUCAGCUUGUUGGUGGGGUAAUGGCCUACCAAGGCGACGACGGGUAGCCGACCUGAGAGGGUGACCGGCCACACUGGGACUGAGACACGGCCCAGACUCCUACGGGAGGCAGCAGUGGGGAAUAUUGCACAAUGGGCGAAAGCCUGAUGCAGCGACGCCGCGUGAGGGAUGACGGCCUUCGGGUUGUAAACCUCUUUCGACAGGGACGAAGCGCAAGUGACGGUACCUGUAGAAGAAGCACCGGCCAACUACGUGCCAGCAGCCGCGGUAAUA
RNAcentral lists this ribosomal RNA (480 nucleotides) under Nocardia nova. RNAcentral describes it as "bacterial SSU rRNA". It matches the Rfam family "Bacterial small subunit ribosomal RNA", at positions 28 to 525 of the family's 1533-position model. The record is from RNAcentral. Lineage: Bacteria; Bacillati; Actinomycetota; Actinomycetes; Mycobacteriales; Nocardiaceae.